CCUACGGGGGGCAGCAGUGAGGAAUAUUGGUCAAUGGACGCAAGUCUGAACCAGCCAUGCCGCGUGCAGGAAGACGGCUCUAUGAGUUGUAAACUGCUUUUGUACGAGGGUAAACGCAGAUACGCGUAUCUGUCUGAAAGUAUCGUACGAAUAAGGAUCGGCUAACUCCGUGCCAGCAGCCGCGGUAAUACGGAGGAUUCAAGCGUUAUCCGGAUUGGUUGGGUUUAAAGGGUGCGUAGGCGGUCGGAUAAGUUAGAGGUGAAAUCCCGAGGCUCAACUUCGGAAUUGCCUCUGAUACUGUUAGGCUAGAGAGUAGUUGCGGUAGGCGGAAUGUAUGGUGUAGCGGUGAAAUGCUUAGAGAUCAUACAGAACACCGAUUGCGAAGGCAGCUUACCAAGCUACUUCUGACGUUGAGGCACGAAAGCGUGGGGAGCAAACAGGAUUAGAUACCCCUGUAGUC
RNAcentral lists this ribosomal RNA (460 nucleotides) under uncultured bacterium. RNAcentral's name for it is "partial 16S ribosomal RNA". It matches the Rfam family "Bacterial small subunit ribosomal RNA", at positions 338 to 795 of the family's 1533-position model. The record is from RNAcentral.